GUCAGGGUAGCUCACGCUGGAGAGCAGAGGACUG
This 34-nucleotide transfer RNA is filed under the name Leichhardtia australis. Its description in RNAcentral is "Marsdenia australis partial tRNA-Phe". Lineage: Eukaryota; Viridiplantae; Streptophyta; Magnoliopsida; Gentianales; Apocynaceae. The record is from RNAcentral.